AACGUAGGAGGCAAGCGUUAUCCGGAUUUACUGGGCGUAAAGCGCGUGCAGGUGGUUCGGAAAGUUGGAUGUGAAAGCUCCUGGCUUAACCGGGAGAGGUCAUUCAAUACUUCCGGGCUUGAGUGCGGGAGAGGGAGGUGGAAUUCCGGGUGUAGUGGUGAAAUGCGUAGAUAUCCGGAGGAACACCAGUGGCGAAAGCGGCCUCCUGGUCCGCUACUGACACUUAGACGCGAAAGCUAGGGUAGCAAACGGG
RNAcentral lists this ribosomal RNA (253 nucleotides) under uncultured prokaryote. RNAcentral's name for it is "partial 16S ribosomal RNA". It matches the Rfam family "Bacterial small subunit ribosomal RNA", at positions 524 to 776 of the family's 1533-position model. The record is from RNAcentral. RNAcentral also lists the same sequence under 1 other name.